GGGCGCAUAGCUCAGUUGGUGAGAGCGCGGUUCUUAUAAAGCCGAGGUCAGUGGUUCGAGUCCACUCGGGCCUA
RNAcentral lists this transfer RNA (74 nucleotides) under Candidatus Dojkabacteria bacterium. RNAcentral's name for it is "tRNA-Ile". It matches the Rfam family "tRNA". From Rfam's summary of the family: Transfer RNA (tRNA) molecules are approximately 80 nucleotides in length. The record is from RNAcentral.